RNAcentral lists this ribosomal RNA (195 nucleotides) under uncultured bacterium. RNAcentral describes it as "partial 16S ribosomal RNA". It matches the Rfam family "Bacterial small subunit ribosomal RNA", at positions 326 to 539 of the family's 1533-position model. The record is from RNAcentral.
ACGCUCGACACCUACGAGGCAGCAGUGGGGAAUAUUGCACAAUGGGGGAAACCCUGAUGCAGCGACGCCGCGUGAGUGAAGAAGUAUUUCGGUAUGUAAAGCUCUAUCAGCAGGGAAGAAGAUGACGGUACCUGAGUAAGAAGCCCCGGCUAACUACGUGCAGCAGCCGCGGUAAUCUGAGCGGGCUGGCAAGGC